GGAAGACAAUGUCUGUGGCUCCUGCAGUAAUGUUUUCUGGCUGUAGGUUUGCAGAGGAUGCAGAUGUGUGUGUGCUUGGGAAAGGCAAACCAUCCUGCUGGCAAUGAAAAGGGGUAGACCAGCCCAUAAGACAAAAGCUGGGAAGUAUGGAUCACUACGAGGGUGCUCGUGAACAUCUAGGUUUGGUAUGACACAUCAGUCACAAUGGAGGCAGUCCAGGCAAACAGCUUUAGGAGAGCAUGUGCUGUGCUUCAAGAUUCCCCUCAGCUGACCAUAUGCAUUUUCCUAGAAGAGGAAACCACGAUCAGUAAAGCUUGCAGGGCUGUGGAGAACCUUCCUUACUCAGGCAGUGUCCUGUGCCAUGUGUCUGGGAGCCAGAGGGUCUCUUCUGGAGCCUUCACCACCACAUCACACCUCUGGCCCUGCAAGAUUGGCAUCUUCUCCCAGAUAUAA
RNAcentral lists this long non-coding RNA (453 nucleotides) under Coturnix japonica (Japanese quail). Its description in RNAcentral is "lncRNA (ENSCJPG00005014407.1)". Lineage: Eukaryota; Metazoa; Chordata; Aves; Galliformes; Phasianidae. The record is from RNAcentral.